RNAcentral lists this long non-coding RNA (111 nucleotides) under Anas platyrhynchos platyrhynchos (common mallard). RNAcentral describes it as "lncRNA (ENSAPLG00000017587.1)". The record is from RNAcentral. Lineage: Eukaryota; Metazoa; Chordata; Aves; Anseriformes; Anatidae.
GAAGAUGAAAGUGAGUGAAAACUAAGGUUGCUUCAUCCCUACCUUUACAAAUACAGACAGCUAUUUUUGUGCAUCCAUGUUUUUUUGCUUGGAAGUCAUAGAGUGGAGGGA